Molecule: ribosomal RNA, 305 nt
Filed under: uncultured bacterium
Lineage: Bacteria
Description: bacterial SSU rRNA
Rfam family: Bacterial small subunit ribosomal RNA
Source: RNAcentral
UGUUUCCUACGGGAGGCAGCAGUGAGGAAUAUUGGUCAAUGGACGAGAGUCUGAACCAGCCACGUAGCGUGAAGGAUGACUGCCCUAUGGGCUGUAAACUUCUUUUAUAUGGGAAUAAAACGUUCCACGUGUGGGAUUUUGUAUGUACCAUAUGAAUAAGGAUCGGCUAACUCCGUGCCAGCAGCCGCGGUAAUACGGAGGAUCCGAGCGUUAUCCGGAUUUAUUGGGUUUAAAGGGAGCGUAGGUGGAUUGUUAAGUCAGUUGUGAAAGUUUGCCGCUCAACCGUAAAAUUGCAGUUGAAACUG